Molecule: long non-coding RNA, 392 nt
Organism: Equus quagga
Lineage: Eukaryota; Metazoa; Chordata; Mammalia; Perissodactyla; Equidae
Exons: 3
Source: RefSeq, a predicted model, not a curated record
AUUGGAGAUCGCCGCCCUACUGAGGAGCUAUUGCGAGAGCGUCCUCGCUGCGUUUUUCCUCCCCGGGUGGACGAGGAGGUUUCUGUCGCCAGAAACACCUGCGGAGAGGAGUCGGGGGUGUUGACUCGUGAUAGAGAGGAGGAAACUGAGGCCCCGGGGAGGUCCUGCGAGUGGGUAACUGAGGCUCAGAGAGCCCGCCUCACUUGCGCACAGCUGAGAAGCGGUCAAGGCAGAAUCGGAACCCAGCUGAAAGAUGAUGACCAGCAUCUGGAGAAGGCAAGGCCUCAAGAUGGAAGAUUCCUGGGUGGAGGAGAACUCGGCCCCAUCGACCUAAUCUUAUACCUAGGACUGAUGUAUGAGAAAAAAAAAAUAAACCUACAUUAUUAUAUUGA